Molecule: non-coding RNA, 24 nt
Filed under: Mus musculus (house mouse)
Lineage: Eukaryota; Metazoa; Chordata; Mammalia; Rodentia; Muridae
Source: RNAcentral
UAAGAUUUCAUGAAAGGCCUAGGA